AGUCUGAUGGAGCACGCCGCGUGAACGAUGAAGGCUUUCGGGUCGUAAAGUUCUGUUGUAAGGGAAGAACAAGUGCCGCAGGCAAUGGCGGCACCUUGACGGUACCUUGCGAGAAAGCCACGGCUAACUACGUGCCAGCAGCCGCGGUAAUACGUAGGUGGCAAGCGUUGUCCGGAAUUAUUGGGCGUAAAGCGCGCGCAGGCGGCCUCUUAAGUCUGAUGUGAAAGCCCCCGGCUCAACCGGGGAGGGCCAUUGGAAACUGGGAGGCUUGAGUAUAGGAGAGAAGAGUGGAAUUCCACGUGUAGCGGUGAAAUGCGUAGAGAUGUGGAGGAACACCAGUGGCGAAGGCGACUCUUUGGCCUAUAACUGACGCUGAGGCGCGAAAGCGUGGGGAGCAAACAGGAUUAGAUACACC
RNAcentral lists this ribosomal RNA (415 nucleotides) under bacterium. Its description in RNAcentral is "bacterial SSU rRNA". It matches the Rfam family "Bacterial small subunit ribosomal RNA", at positions 380 to 787 of the family's 1533-position model. The record is from RNAcentral.